RNAcentral lists this ribosomal RNA (1259 nucleotides) under Serratia rubidaea. RNAcentral's name for it is "bacterial SSU rRNA". It matches the Rfam family "Bacterial small subunit ribosomal RNA". Lineage: Bacteria; Pseudomonadati; Pseudomonadota; Gammaproteobacteria; Enterobacterales; Yersiniaceae. The record is from RNAcentral.
AGAGUUUGAUCAUGGCUCAGAUUGAACGCUGGCGGCAGGCCUAACACAUGCAAGUCGAGCGGCAGCGGGAGGAAGCUUGCUUCCUCGCCGGCGAGCGGCGGACGGGUGAGUAAUGUCUGGGGAUCUGCCCGAUGGAGGGGGAUAACCACUGGAAACGGUGGCUAAUACCGCAUAACGUCGCAAGACCAAAGUGGGGGACCUUCGGGCCUCACACCAUCGGAUGAACCCAGAUGGGAUUAGCUAGUAGGUGGGGUAAUGGCUCACCUAGGCGACGAUCCCUAGCUGGUCUGAGAGGAUGACCAGCCACACUGGAACUGAGACACGGUCCAGACUCCUACGGGAGGCAGCAGUGGGGAAUAUUGCACAAUGGGCGCAAGCCUGAUGCAGCCAUGCCGCGUGUGUGAAGAAGGCCUUCGGGUUGUAAAGCACUUUCAGCGAGGAGGAAGGUGGUGANUCAUCAAUUGACGUUACUCGCAGAAGAAGCACCGGCUAACUCCGUGCCAGCAGCCGCGGUAAUACGGAGGGUGCAAGCGUUAAUCGGAAUUACUGGGCGUAAAGCGCACGCAGGCGGUUUGUUAAGUCAGAUGUGAAAUCCCCGAGCUUAACUUGGGAACUGCAUUUGAAACUGGCAAGCUAGAGUCUCGUAGAGGGGGGUAGAAUUCCAGGUGUAGCGGUGAAAUGCGUAGAGAUCUGGAGGAAUACCGGUGGCGAAGGCGGCCCCCUGGACGAAGACUGACGCUCAGGUGCGAAAGCGUGGGGAGCAAACAGGAUUAGAUACCCUGGUAGUCCACGCCGUAAACGAUGUCGAUUUGGAGGUUGUGCCCUUGAGGCGUGGCUUCCGGAGCUAACGCGUUAAAUCGACCGCCUGGGGAGUACGGCCGCAAGGUUAAAACUCAAAUGAAUUGACGGGGGCCCGCACAAGCGGUGGAGCAUGUGGUUUAAUUCGAUGCAACGCGAAGAACCUUACCUACUCUUGACAUCCAGAGAACUUNGGCAAGCGGACCUCAUAAAGUACGUCGUAGUCCGGAUUGGAGUCUGCAACUCGACUCCAUGAAGUCGGAAUCGCUAGUAAUCGUAGAUCAGAAUGCUACGGUGAAUACGUUCCCGGGCCUUGUACACACCGCCCGUCACACCAUGGGAGUGGGUUGCAAAAGAAGUAGGUAGCUUAACCUUCGGGAGGGCGCUUACCACUUUGUGAUUCAUGACUGGGGUGAAGUCGUAACAAGGUAACCGUAGGGGAACCUGCGGUUGGAUCACCU